This 449-nucleotide ribosomal RNA is filed under the name uncultured bacterium. RNAcentral describes it as "partial 16S ribosomal RNA". It matches the Rfam family "Bacterial small subunit ribosomal RNA", at positions 29 to 523 of the family's 1533-position model. The record is from RNAcentral.
AACGAACGCUGGCGGCAGGCCUAACACAUGCAAGUCGAACGCCCUAGCAAUAGGGAGUGGCAGACGGGUGAGUAACACGUGGGAACGUGCCCUUCGGUUCGGAAUAACUCAGGGAAACUUGAGCUAAUACCGGAUACGUGCGAGAGCAGAAAGAUUUAUCGCCGAAGGAUCGGCCCGCGUCCGAUUAGCUAGUUGGUGAGGUAAUGGCUCACCAAGGCGACGAUCGGUAGCUGGUCUGAGAGGAAGACCAGCCACACUGGGACUGAGACACGGCCCAGACUCCUACGGGAGGCAGCAGUGGGGAAUAUUGGACAAUGGGCGCAAGCUUGAUCCAGCCAUGCCGCGUGAGUGAUGAAGGCCCUAGGGUUGUAAAGCUCUUUCGCCAGGGACGAUAAUGACGGUACCUGGAUAAGAAGCCCCGGCUAACUUCGUGCCAGCCGCCGCGGUAA